UCUGACACAGGUGCUGCAUGGCUGUCGUCAGCUCGUGUCGUGAGAUGUUGGGUUAAGUCCGUAACGAGCGCAACCCUUGUCCUUAGUUACCAGCACGUUAUGGUGGGCACUCUAAGGAGACUGCCGGUGACAAACCGGAGGAAGGUGGGGAUGACGUCAAGUCAUCACGGCCCUUACGGCCUGGGCUACACACGUGCUACAAUGGUCGGUACAAAGGGUUGCCAAGCCGCGAGGUGGAGCUAAUCCCAUAAAACCGAUCGUAGUCCGGAUCGCAGUCUGCAACUCGACUGCGUGAAGUCGGAAUCGCUAGUAAUCGUGAAUCAGAAUGUCACGGUGAAUACGUUCCCGGGCCUU
This 354-nucleotide ribosomal RNA is filed under the name uncultured Pseudomonas sp. Its description in RNAcentral is "bacterial SSU rRNA". It matches the Rfam family "Bacterial small subunit ribosomal RNA", at positions 1028 to 1382 of the family's 1533-position model. Lineage: Bacteria; Pseudomonadati; Pseudomonadota; Gammaproteobacteria; Pseudomonadales; Pseudomonadaceae. The record is from RNAcentral.